UUACUUAUUUUUUUAAGGUGGCGCUGAGGAUUGAACCCAGUGCCUUGCACAUGCUAGGCAAGUGCUCUACCACUGAGCCACGACCCCAGCACCCCUCCCGCUUCUUGAUCAAGGAAGUUCUUAUUAAGUUGCUGAGGCUGACUGAAACUUGUGAACCUCCUGACUUAGCCUCCUGAGUCGCUGGGAUUACAGUUCUCGGCGGACACAACAUCUUUGUUGGUAUGUGGUGCUGAGGAUUGAACCCAGGCCGUACGCAUGCCAGACGAGCGCGCUACUACCUGAGCCACAUUCCCAGCCCCUCUAUUAUUGAUUUCUAAUUUAAUUCCACUGUGAUCAGAGAACAUACUUUAUAUACUUCGAAUUCUUUCAAAUGUGUACAGAUUGUUUUAUGACCAAGAAUAUGGCCUUU
Molecule: long non-coding RNA, 409 nt
Filed under: Urocitellus parryii (Arctic ground squirrel)
Lineage: Eukaryota; Metazoa; Chordata; Mammalia; Rodentia; Sciuridae
Description: lncRNA (ENSUPAG00010014583.1)
Source: RNAcentral